AUUGAACGCUGGCGGCAGGCUUAACACAUGCAAGUCGAGCGGGGGAAGGUAGCUUGCUACUGGACCUAGCGGCGGACGGGUGAGUAAUGCUUAGGAAUCUGCCUAUUAGUGGGGGACAACAUCUCGAAAGGGAUGCUAAUACCGCAUACGUCCUACGGGAGAAAGCAGGGGAUCUUCGGACCUUGCGCUAAUAGAUGAGCCUAAGGCGGAUUAGCUAGUUGGUGGGGUAAAGGCCUACCAAGGCGGCGAUCUGUAGCGGGUCUGAGAGGAUGACCCGCAACACGGGGCCUGAGACAGGGCCCAGACGCCUACGGGGGGCAGCAGUGGGGAAUAUUGGACAAUGGGGGGAGCCCUGAUCCAGCCAUGCCGCGUGUGUGAAGAAGGCCUUAUGGUUGUAAAGCACUUUCAGUGGGGAGGAGGGCAAUUAGGUUAAUACCUUGCUGUUUUGACGUUACCAACAGAAUAAGCACCGGCUAACUUCGUGCCAGCCGCCGCCGUAA
RNAcentral lists this ribosomal RNA (500 nucleotides) under uncultured bacterium. RNAcentral's name for it is "partial 16S ribosomal RNA". It matches the Rfam family "Bacterial small subunit ribosomal RNA", at positions 30 to 523 of the family's 1533-position model. The record is from RNAcentral.